UUGGCUAGCCCAUUCCUAGUAAUUGCAAGAGUGAAUUGGAGAAGGGAGGUGGUUGAGUUAAUCUUUGAAGCUUUUCCUGAAGAGAUGGGCUUUUGACCUGUGAUUUCAUUCUUUCCACAAGUGUUUGAGCAUCUCCUGUGUGCAUGACCCUUUGGUGAACAUAAAAAUUAAAAUCCUAGAUCACCAAAAUGUGUUUAAUGUGUAUAUAUGUGAAACAACUACAAGUUUGUGGUGCAAUACUGCUUACAAGAGAACUGGAAAUGCAAAAUAAAGAAGAGACCAUUGUGGGAUUAGAACAUUUUCCUUGGUCAGGUCAGUCAGAGCUGUCAGCAUGACCCCUCCCAGCCGGCUAGCAGUGCUUUAUUACCAGAAGCAGUCUCCAAAUGUGACCAACAGGGAAAGGGAUGGGAGGUGAAUACUGGUGGAGGACAGACUCGAGGGAUGAAACCUCUUCAGUCUCCAUAAACGUAGGGUAUUGAAGGGGCAGGAUGAGAGUCUGAUACCGUGAAGGGGCUAGGAACGAGAAACCGGUAUCUGAAUCCUAGACACUAGAGUGAGGGCCCAACGUAGGGCUUGAGUUAGGUAAGUGGAAAACAGUUCUACAACUCAAGUCCCAAAGAGGUGGGUCCAAGAAGGUUUGAUUGUCAUAACGGCAGAUUUAUGAAGGGGUUAUUAAAGAAAGCUGGAGGUGUUGGGAGGACUUUCUAAACUUUUGAGAUUAAUGUCAGGGAAGACAAGAAGCCAUCUCUAAUUCUGUCUCUUACUAGUAAGAGACUGAAUCUUUUGUCUGCCUGUAAAGAAAGCUCUUUUAUGAACUUAGGGGGUAAAUGGUGUUGGGUUGAAUGCUAUAUUUACUUGGUCUUCCCUAGGUAAAAGGGAGAGCAGAUUUAAUAACUGUAGGGUGGGGGUGAGGGGGGGAAAGGAGUAUAGAGAAAUGGGACACAAUAAGCCAGCCACGCCAUCAGGAGGUUUCCCAAUUGAGCCUGGACUUGGGUAAAAAAAAAAAAAGUGGACCAAUUAGCAUGUUACAAAGACCAAAGGUGACCAAAUUGAACAAUUUGGGGCCAUAAAUAUAGUUAGCCAGUGUACUAGCAUCCUCUUAAAGAGGAUUCUCAUCCUAGAGAACUUUAAAGAUUAGGUUAGAAAAGCUUAGAUACUGCAUAAUCUGUGAC
This 1172-nucleotide long non-coding RNA is filed under the name Vombatus ursinus (common wombat). RNAcentral's name for it is "lncRNA (ENSVURG00010013885.1)". Lineage: Eukaryota; Metazoa; Chordata; Mammalia; Diprotodontia; Vombatidae. The record is from RNAcentral.